AGUUUAAAGAUGGGUUACAUCAAUUACAUUCGAUUUAUGGAUAUGAGUUUAUGUAGAGCAGACGGACAAGCCCCGAAAAAAAAGGCUUCCCCGUCUCACGAGUGCACAGGUGUAUGUGGAUGAAAGAGAAGGCGUGCACAUGCCCCUUCCGGAAGAAAAGGCCAGCGACAACCGACUCUAGGUUCAUUCAUUAAUGAUCCUUCCGCAGGUUCACCUACGGAAA
RNAcentral lists this unclassified non-coding RNA (223 nucleotides) under uncultured fungus. RNAcentral describes it as "sequence contains ITS1, 5.8S rRNA gene". Lineage: Eukaryota; Fungi. The record is from RNAcentral.